UACAGAGGUCUCAAGCGUUGUUCGGAUUCAUUGGGCGUAAAGGGUGCGUAGGUGGCGCGGUAAGUCGGGUGUGAAAUCUCGGAGCUUAACUCCGAAAUUGCAUCGAUACUGCCGUGCUUGAGGACUGGAGAGGAGACUGGAAUUCAUGGUGUAGCAGUGAAAUGCGUAGAGAUCAUGAGGAAGACCGUGGCGAAGGCGGGUCUCUGGA
RNAcentral lists this ribosomal RNA (208 nucleotides) under uncultured bacterium. RNAcentral's name for it is "partial 16S ribosomal RNA". It matches the Rfam family "Bacterial small subunit ribosomal RNA", at positions 524 to 733 of the family's 1533-position model. The record is from RNAcentral.